AUACUUAUCUGGCAGAGAAGAUUCCGUUAUCAAGAAGGCGGACCUUCCAGGAUGAGGCCCUUCCAUUGCACUACAGUUGGGUUGACCCCUGCGAAUAUCCCCAAUGUGGAUAUCUCGGGCGUAUUAUUUUUGAUAACCAUUAAUUCAUUAAACA
This 154-nucleotide small nuclear RNA is filed under the name Copidosoma floridanum. RNAcentral's name for it is "U1 spliceosomal RNA". It matches the Rfam family "U1 spliceosomal RNA". Rfam says of the family: U1 is a small nuclear RNA (snRNA) component of the spliceosome (involved in pre-mRNA splicing). Its 5' end forms complementary base pairs with the 5' splice junction, thus defining the 5' donor site of an intron. There are significant differences in sequence and secondary structure between metazoan and yeast U1 snRNAs, the latter being much longer (568 nucleotides as compared to 164 nucleotides in human). Lineage: Eukaryota; Metazoa; Arthropoda; Insecta; Hymenoptera; Encyrtidae. The record is from RNAcentral.